GAUUCGCGCGGGGUCAGCUUGAUCAAUGGCAGCACCGUCUAGCGAGAACAAUGCUGGCGCUUCGCUGUCAUGCACUGACAGCGCAGUUGAAGCGUUUGUUGCAGAUGCCACCGAUAUUCGCGAUCUUCUUUACAAGUACCGUGCUGACGCAGAACUCUUGAGGCAUGAGCUGAGCAGCUUUGUACAUCGUGAGAUUGAUGAGCAGGCGCAAUUCUCGCACUUGCGUGCCUCUGUUAACCAAACCGAACUGGCCUCCCUGCAUGACCCCAGAUUUAUCGAGUAUCUAGCGCGACGUGAAGCGGAAGAGAAGCGUGUGACUCCGUCUGCUUUCUCAGCUGGUGACGCGACGAUCAGUGACCAAACUGAUGGUGUAGGAGCGACGAACGCCAGUGCUGACUUCCAGUGGUGGGCGCAACGUAUGAAAGAAGAGGGCUCACCAUGGCUUCGCUGCUGGACACCCGAUGCAGCGCUGCCCCUGGCAGCGUUCAGACGCCUGUCGGACGUGUGGAAGGGAUGGAAGCAUACAAGUGCUGCAUAUGAUACCGAAUUUGAUAGAAUGCUCGAGGAGGUGUAUGCAAGCACACCGCCGUCUUCUUGUAGCGCCAACAUGAGGUACUGCUGCUUUGGGAACGGCGCUCUUUGCAUUCUUCCCAUCAAAGAUGACGUGGCGAUAAUGGAUGACCUUGAAAAGAGGGUAUCACUGAUGGCGGGAGCCUCUUCGGAACCCUUUUCCAGAUCGCCUUCUUCGCUGAGCACGGACAACGCAGGCUACGCAGUGGCCUCUAUGCUCGAUAGCUAUUUUGCUGAGCUGACCAGCGCUGUUGCCAUGACGCGCGACGAACUUCACGAGAAGGUCUCCACACUGAUGCAGAAAAAGAAGCUGGCCAAUGCAGAUAGUCACGCCACAGUAGCAGACAGUUUUCGACUCACUGGUGAUGCCUGGGACACGUUGAGUUUUGCUCACCCGGAUAGACUGAAGCACGCUGUUAUGGUACGCGGCUUCUUCUUUAAAGGUAGGCUUUCCUUGGUGGAGCAGCUCGGCGCAGAAGUAGAUGUCGUACCACUCUUCUUUGCACAUGAGAAAGGCUCUAGCAUGUUGGAAGAGCGUGGACAGCGCGUUCAGCGCCUUUUCUCGCAGACCCUGUCUACUCUCUACAGGGAGCUUGAACGAGCCUGCAACGGCGCCACGAUGCUAGGUGAAACAGCCCUUCCGCCAAACGCAGCACUCACUGUUGCUGUGAAGGUGCCCUCCUCUGAGCGCGACGUGGUCAAGGGUGUGCUGCUAGACGUGCACCCAGUGAGCCCUCAGUUGCCGUUUGACGGUCACGUCACCUGGAUGGACGUGUGCGCCGUCGGGCGGCAGCGUGCCUGUGCCCCGCCAGGGACUCAGGGGCCACUUGGCGCUGCCGCCGUCUCACGCGGCAGCAGCGACGAAGAGUGCAGUGUUCUCUUCCGCCUCACCCGUCUACCUGUGGCGUCACUGCAGCCGUACGAUGCCGUAAGCCGUCGCGUCUUUCCACUGCUUAAUAGACAGCUCACUGCAGACCAGCGGCGCAAACACGAAAGGACAGACGAGGAUGUAGAAGUGCCAACGGGAGGUGUGGCUAGCGUCUCGUACUCAGUUCCUUCGAUGACUGUACCCAUCUGUGUUGGCGCUGUAGCGUGUGUAGCUGCGGCACUAAGCGUGGCUUGCUGGGUUCGUCGAUCUUAGCUUUUUUUUUUGAACUUCUUUUUUAGGAUUUUGCGUCUCGAAAAGCUGUGCUGAGGCACUCGUGGCCUGUUCCAGCUUUUGGCGCCUCCGAUCCCGCUUCUUUAUCUUUGUUUGGCCCUGUUGUUGCUCUCCUGGGCAACCUUCUUCAGUAUGCCCCGCCGCACAGACCCGCGUGCUUUUCCUCCUCUCGUAUCGGCGUGUCGGUGUGGUCCCGUUGAGCAAAAGGUCGAACUUCUCCAGCACAAACUUUUUUUUCGUGCUUUCUGCCCUUUCCCCCUCCUCCUCUUCUUCCCCCCGCUUUCGUCACGUGCCACACCGAUGUACCGGCAUGUGCUUGAACUUAGAUGGGCUUGGCUUUCUUCAGAACAAUCCUCUUUUUUUUUCGGUUUGGUUCGAUUGCCUUUGCCGUCUAAAUGCUCACGAUGCACACACACACACACACACAGACACUUACACAUAGGCACAUGCGAACAUGGUAACGAGGGAACAGAAGCCGCGUACCCCGUCCCCACGCUCAUCGGCGCUGCUUGCAUCUUUUUCUCGAGUACUUUUGCAUGUUGCCUUCUACUUUUUCCUUCUUGAACCUUUCCACGAAUCCGUGACGCUGACUUUUGCCCCCGCUUCCCCCUUCUUCCUCUUUCUCCUUGAUGACAGGGGAUAUCAAGGCGCGGUAUCUCAGGGCCCAGCGCCCCCGCUCUGUGGGGGGGGGGGAGACAGGCGGCCCCGCCCCCGCCCUAUCCCCAGCCAAAUGCCGAGCCGCUCCUCUGGUGGCCACAGGGUCGAGCGCCGACGGCGUGGAAGUCAGAGCGACACAUGGCUACUCGUG
Molecule: unclassified non-coding RNA, 2537 nt
Filed under: Leishmania donovani
Lineage: Eukaryota; Euglenozoa; Kinetoplastea; Trypanosomatida; Trypanosomatidae
Description: gene:LdHU3.17.1410(CDS-product:hypothetical_prote in_conserved)
Source: RNAcentral